Long non-coding RNA from Vulpes vulpes (red fox), 2553 nucleotides. Lineage: Eukaryota; Metazoa; Chordata; Mammalia; Carnivora; Canidae. The record is from Ensembl.
CUGCCCGUCUCGGGUCGCCGUCGCCCGCCCCCCCCCGCCCCCCCCUCGCCCUCAGUGAGCCUCUCCUGACCCCUGCAAGGAAGGCCUGGGCGGGCCUCAGCUCCAAAGGGCCAUCGCGGCCGCCCUUGACUGCCCGGGCCUCCAAGCCGGCUGACAGUUCGCACGCCACCCCCCCACCCAGUGUCCGUUCCCCGAGGCCUACCGGCCUCCCUGGGGCUUCCCUUCUGACCACGAAGCCCAGGUCCGAACACCCUCCACAAGCAGGCGGGAGCCACCGAGGACCCCGAAGGGGGCACGCGCCGCCCGGGCAAGGAAGGGUCCGGCUCCCACACGAGUCUACCGCCCCGACGGUCGAUGGCGGGGACACGGGGCCGCGCCAAGGGAGGGUCACGCGGGCGUCCCCUAGCUCGGCGGCGUCGGGCUGGGCGUCGCGCCCGGCUCGCCAAUCAGAGUCCGGGCACGGGCCGCACGGCACCCCAGGGCGGGACCGGUGACAGAGGCUGCGGGGGUACCCUGCCCGGGGACCGCUCGGCCCUGCAGGACCUCUCAUCCCGCAGAGUCAGCGCAACGCCGCCCACCUUGCCCACCCGGCUUGUCAAGCAAGAGUAGGCCAGCGAAGUCCUCCCUGCUCCUCGGUCUCGGGCUCGGGGCCAGGGAGACCCGGUUCCUCGCCCCUGGGCAGGUGCCCGAGCUCCGCGGGUGCCGCUGUGGGCGCCGGGACCCAAAGGGCGCGUGGACACCGCCUGGAUCUCAGGCGUCGGCGGGGGGUGGUGGUGGGGGGAGCUCGGAGGGAGACCGGGGUCAGGAGAUGCAGGCCGCCUCCUCGGUGCCCCGGGGCCAGGUUUGACCAAGGAAGGGGACAGCGUGCACGGCCCCUCGUGCCACCCCCGCCCCCCACUAACUAAGGGGCCUUCCGGGAAGCUGACUGGUGUGAGGAGAAGGGGCAACACGCUGCCUCUGGCACGCGGCGGCGGCGGCGGCGGCGACGGCGGCGCGGGGAGACACCCGCGGACGCUCGGGGCCUGCUCGUGGACGCGUGUGGACGGGAAGGCACGACCCAUCCCGGACCUUCUUCCACCCGUGUGUGGGCUACCGGGACAGCCGGGGCCUCCACGGAGGUCGGUCCGCGUGAUCCAGAGCGGGAGCCUCCUUCGGGGCACUGGACUGGCAGAUGCGUGCCUGACUAUUGGCCCACGGGGGCAAACGGAGCUGGGCCCCCCAGCCCAGGGGACGGGGCUCCGCUCCCGGGAGCCUCAGAAGCCGGGGUGCUUGCUUGCUUGCUUGCUUGCUUGCUCGCUGGCUCGCUCGCCCGCGCGGGCCCGUUGGCCCGCGGCCGAACCCGCCACCCGCCACCCCUCCACCCUCACCCCGGCCCUUGACAGGAGAGCCGCCCGCCCGCCAUGUUGGGGCGAGGGACAGCGGACACGGACACGGGCUUGGCUCCCGAGUCCUCUGGCGUGGCCUUUUUUUCUUCUGGCAGAGGGCGGAGAAAAAAGGCCAAGGGCUGGCCACCCGGGCUCCAACAUGGCGGCUCCUGUGUCUGGGCCACUUUCGCUUUAGGGGAGCACUUGUCUAGUAUUACCAGAGUUGAGCUUUUCUUCCUUCCCUCCUUUAUCUGUGAGCCUACUUUGCGAUUGGAUUGUAUGGUAUGGUAUGGAGCAACAUGGAUGCUGAUUAACCUCCUAUGUUUGGUUAAUACUGACUGAUGGUUAUAGGACACAUCAGGAGAUAUAGUGGUGCGAUCUUGAGCUUUGAGCCACAGUUACCCCAAGCUGAUAAUUUCCCUUUCUGGCACAUUCCACCAGGGCUCCCUCAUUCAGGUCCCUUUGACUAGGGUGGUUACAUGGUGAUUUGUGGAAAUGGAUGGCUUUGUGCAAAUCCAUGGGCUCUGUUUAUGUUGUCAAUCAUAAGUUGCGCAUAUGUCACUAGAGGAUGGAAGGUUUCAAAGUUUAUUUGUCUGUGUCCCAGGUGUUUCUCUAGGAUUCAGGAGUCAAUGGUGGUACGCAUAUUUUAGCAUGGAUCGCUUCGUAUGCUGCUUGUGAGAUGGCAAUCCACCUCAUCUUUGGCCUUCGUUAAUCUUUGAUUGUCUGUAGAUUCGCAUGCAAGCAUCUCCUUUUUCCUGUUCCACAAUCACGAACUGCCUUGAGAGCCUUUUCUACCACAGGUGAAAUUCUGGUACAGUACACAAGAGUCCUGGUAUUAAGAAUCUGCCUAGGGAUUCUUUCCUUCUUGAACUUUGCUGAAAUAAUACCACAAUCUGUGUUCUUCCUGCAGUAAAAUGAACUCUCUUGUUAAAGGAAAAAGAAGAAAAUAGAGCACUCACUCACCCAGAACAUCAGCACUGGCCUCUUCAUUUUCACUUCUUUCUUUCCUUUCAUUCUGUCUCCCCUGCAGUGAGAGAGAGAGAGAGAGCUUGUUAUGGGACCACCAUAGUGCUGCGUAACAGGGUUUUGUAUGCAUCCCACUUAGUCCACCUUCAGUGUUUCAGGUCAGUAUUUUUUUUUUUUAGUUUAGUUUAGUUUUUUAAAUAAAUUUAUUUUUUAUUGGUGUUCA